Molecule: ribosomal RNA, 315 nt
Filed under: uncultured eukaryote
Lineage: Eukaryota
Description: partial 18S ribosomal RNA
Rfam family: Eukaryotic small subunit ribosomal RNA
Source: RNAcentral
CCCUUAGACAUUCUGGGCCGCACGCGCGCUACACUGACCAGUGCAACAAGCAUCCGUCCUUGGCCCACAGGCCCGGGCAAUCUUUGAACGCUGGUCGUGAUGGGGAUAGACUUUUGCAAUUUUUGGUCUUCAACGAGGAAUUCCUAGUAAACGCAAGUCAUCAACUUGCAUUGAUUACGUCCCUGCCCUUUGUACACACCGCCCGUCGCACCUACCGAUUGAAUGGUCCGGUGAAGCCUCCGGAUUGGCGCGCACCUCGGUGCCGCCGAGAAGUUGGCUAAACCUUACCAUUUAGAGGAAGGUGAAGUCGUAACA